GGAGGAAAAGAAACCAACAGGGAUUCCCUUAGUAACGGCGAGCGAACAGGGAAGAGUCCAGCGCCGAAUUUCACGUUCCUUACGGACGUUUGAAAAAUGUGGCGUUUAGGAGGUCACGUGCCGAGGUUGGACUCUGCAGCAAGUCCCCCUGACCGGGGCUGUUAUCCAGAGUGGGUGCGAGGCCCAUAGCUGCUAUGUCUGCUUUGGAUGUGACCUCUUGGGAGUCAGGUUGCUUGGGAGUGCAACCCUAAUUGGGUGGUAAACUCCACCUAAGACUAAAUACGGCCGUGAGACCGAUAGCAAACAAGUACCGUGAGGGAAAGUUGCAAAGAACUUUGAAGAGAGAGUUCAAGAGUACGUGAAACUGCUCAGAGGCAAACAGAUGGGCCCUCGAAAUCCUUUGGUAGGAGGAUUCAGUUAGGAAAGGCCAAGGCAAUGUGCGGUUUCAUAAACGGACCCUCAGUGGGGACGGAUCGCUGUUGUGGUCUUGGCUUGACCUGACGCAUUUCUUCCUACACAAGGACGCCGCAUCCGGUUGGGUAACUGUUUGAGUCGGCCAUAAGGGCAAGCAAGGAAGGUGGCUGGUGGUGUUGCCUACGCUUCUCUGCCAGUUGUUAGCCAGUUUGCCCAUGGCAUGACACCCGACCGAGGUUAAUUCGUUCCCACAUGGGGAACUAGCCGCCCUCUUCCAUCAAGAAGUGGAUGCUUCGACAAGUGUUUCACGUAGUGGUGUUUUCACUCUUUGUAGUGUGCAUCACUACGUGUUCCCUGGUGGUUGAAAGCUACCCACGGAGGUGCAUAUGGCUAGCGGCGAGUGAGUCGGUCACCCACCUGACCCGUCUUGAAACACGGACCAAGGAGUCUAACAUGUGCGCGAGUCAUGGGGUCUUGAAUAGGCCCAGAGGCGCAAUGAAAGUGAAAGUCGAUCUCGUGUCGACUAUGUUGGGAUCUCUCGUCCUUAGUGGCGGGGAAGCACCAACAAUCCGUCCUAUCUGAUUUAUCAGUUGGCCGGAAUUUGAGCGUACACGUUGGGACCCGAAAGAUGGUGAACUAUGCCUGGGCAGGACGAAGCCAGAGGAAACUCUGGUGGAGGUCCGUAGCGGUUCUGACGUGCAAAUCGAUCGUCAGACCUAGGUAUAGGAGCGAAAGACCAAUCGAACUAUCUAGUAGCUGGUUCCCUCCGAAGUUUCCCACAGGAUAGCUGGCGCUCGGAGGAAUCAGUCUCAUCCGAUAAAGCGAAUGAUUAGAGGCCUUGGGGCCGAAACGACCUCAACCUAUUCUCAAACUUUAAAUGGGUGAGAAGUCCGGCUUGCAUGACUGAAGUCUGGACGUUUCGGAUGUGAGUGCCCAGUGGGCCACUUUUGGUAAGCAGAACUGGCGCUGUGGGAUGAACCAAACGCCGAGUUACGGCGCCCGAUGCGAGACGCUCAUGAGACCCCAUAAAAGGUGUUGGUUGCUAUAGACAGCAGGACGGUGUCCAUGGAAGUCGGUAUCCGCUAAGGAGUGUGUAACAACUCACCUGCCGAAGCAACUAGCCCUGAAAAUGGAUGGCGCUCCAGCGUCGAGCCCAUACUCGGCCGCUGCGGCAGAGCUUUUCGAAGUUUAUGCCACAGUGAGUAGGAGGGUCGCAGCGGCGAGCGUAGAAGGUGCCGGGCGUGAGCCCGCCUGAAGCCGCCGCUGGUGCAGAUCUUGGUGGUAGUAGCAAAUACUCAAGUGAGAACCUUGAGGACUGAGGUGGAGAAGGGUUCCAUGUGAACAGCAGUUGAACAUGGGUCAGUCGGUCCUAAGGGAUAGGAGAAAUCCGUUCCGAAGCGGGACGUUGUGUAUGAAUGUGCGCUUGUCCCGCUGGUGACCGAAAGGGAAUCGGGUCAAUAUUCCCGAACCCGGAUACGGAGAUCGAGCCCUUGGGCUCAAGUGCGGUAACGCAACCGAACUCGGAGAUGUCGACGGGAGUCCCGGGAAGAGUUGUCUUUUCUUUGUAAGGGUUCGGGUCCCUGGAAUCGGCUCGUCCGGAGAUAGGGAUGCUGUUCCCGUAAAGCACCGCGGCUCUUGCGGUGUCUGGAGCGCUCCUGUCGGCCCUUGAAAAUCCGAGGAAGGAAGUGUGAUUUUCGUGCCGGUCCGUACCCAUAUCCGCAGCAGGUCUCCAAGGUGAACAGCCUCUAGUCGAUA
Molecule: ribosomal RNA, 2169 nt
Filed under: Triaeris sp. MA176
Lineage: Eukaryota; Metazoa; Arthropoda; Arachnida; Araneae; Oonopidae
Description: eukaryotic LSU rRNA
Rfam family: Eukaryotic large subunit ribosomal RNA
Source: RNAcentral